UAAUACAGAGGUCUCAAGCGUUGUUCGGAAUCACUGGGCGUAAAGGGUGCGUAGGUGGCGUGGUAAGUCAGAUGUGAAAGCCCGGGGCUCAACCUCGGAACUGCAUCCGAUACUACCAUGCUAGAGUACUGAAGAGGUGACUAGAAUUCUAGGUGUAGCAGUGAAAUGCGUAGAUAUCUAGAGGAAUACCAAAGGCGUAGGCAGGUCACUGGGCAGUUACUGACACUGAGGCACGAAGGCCAGGGGAGCAAACGGGAUUAGAUACCCCGGUAGUCCUGGCAGUAAACGGUGCACACUUGGUGUGGGAGGAUUCGACCCCUUCCGUGCCGGAGCUAACGCGUUAAGUGUGCCGCCUGGGAAGUACGGUCGCAAGAUUAAAACUCAAAGAAAUUGACGGGGACCCGCACAAGCGGUGGAGUAUGUGGCUUAAUUCGAUGCAACGCGAAGAACCUUACCUGGUCUCGACAUGCUUUGUGUCUUCUGUGAAAGCAGAAUACGGUAGCAA
Molecule: ribosomal RNA, 505 nt
Filed under: uncultured Prosthecobacter sp.
Lineage: Bacteria; Pseudomonadati; Verrucomicrobiota; Verrucomicrobiia; Verrucomicrobiales; Verrucomicrobiaceae
Description: bacterial SSU rRNA
Rfam family: Bacterial small subunit ribosomal RNA
Source: RNAcentral